GAUUUUUAGGCCGUUGAUUUCCCUUUCAAUUUCACAUGCCUUUCAAAUAAGACCUUCAUUUAUUAAAGAUAACGAUGUGUGAACUACAUGGGAUGUAUUUUGACCGGACUUAGACGAGUCAGAGGUAGUUUCCUAUGAAAAUUCAAGGGCACACGAGACAGAGUCAGUUAAUCCAACACAGAAGAAAGAUGGUG
Long non-coding RNA from Haliotis rubra (blacklip abalone), 194 nucleotides. RefSeq lists it as uncharacterized. The record is from RefSeq and is a predicted model, not a curated record. The transcript is spliced from 2 exons. Lineage: Eukaryota; Metazoa; Mollusca; Gastropoda; Lepetellida; Haliotidae.